GGAUAUGAGGGCAAUAUGUCACCCAUUGAUGGUCAGGGGGAUUCAGCUACUCUGGUGUCACCAUUCCCACCCACUCCACCUGCAUCCCCUGAAGCUGCACUCCAUGAAGAGACACUCUGGCCCCAUAGAUAUAGGAGGACUGUUCUUAGUAAAGAGCAUAGGAGUAGCUGCCUUCAUGCUAGACCAGGGGUGGGCAAACUUUUUGACUCGAGGGCCACAAUGGGUUCUUAAACUGGACCGGAGGGCCGGAACAAAAGCAUGGAUGGAGUGUUUGUGUGAACUAAUAUAAAUUCAAAGUAAACAUCAUUACAUAAAAAGGUACGGUCUUUUUUUUAAAUACUUUUAUUCAUUUCAAACGGGCCGGAUCAGGCCCACGGGCUGUAGUUUGCCCACAGCUGUAGAGCUUCAACACUCGUUCUCAAGAUCCAUCUGUAGGAGAAUGUAGGGCAGUUCCAACACUCCAGACAUAUCCACCUGAGGAGUUGCACUUGGCAGUCUGCCUUUAAAAU
RNAcentral lists this small nuclear RNA (509 nucleotides) under Myotis davidii. RNAcentral's name for it is "7SK RNA". It matches the Rfam family "7SK RNA". Rfam says of the family: 7SK was discovered as an abundant small nuclear RNA in the mid-70s but a possible function has only recently been suggested. Two independent studies have found that 7SK RNA binds the CDK9/cyclin T complex (known as elongation factor P-TEFb). P-TEFb activates transcription by phosphorylating the C-terminal domain of RNA polymerase II. Lineage: Eukaryota; Metazoa; Chordata; Mammalia; Chiroptera; Vespertilionidae. The record is from Rfam by way of RNAcentral.